CCAUUAAGCAUUUCAAAGGCAUCUCCGGAUAGAGAUAGACUGUUAAACAUUUCCCCACAUUUCCCCCAGAUGUGUAAAGCUACGUAAUCCAUACCCUAUAUAUCUCCUCAUGUACUGGGGUUCGUGGUCAAGCACCUAGAACAGCUGUGAGGUCUCGGCCCUAGCCCCAUGCCCGGGCUAGAAAUAAAGGCUCUUUGUCUUUACAUCA
Molecule: long non-coding RNA, 208 nt
Organism: Erinaceus europaeus (western European hedgehog)
Lineage: Eukaryota; Metazoa; Chordata; Mammalia; Eulipotyphla; Erinaceidae
Exons: 2
Source: RefSeq, a predicted model, not a curated record